GCAGGGUGGCCACCCAUUAAUCAGCAAAAGUUAGAAUGGGUGCAACUCGGCAGUCGUUGCGCAGGCACUUUGGUGACUCUAGAACCUUGGGCCGAUCACACGUCCCCGUGACGGCAACGACACAUUCGGAUGUAUGCCCUAUCAACUUUCGAUGGUACAUUCUGCGCCUACCAUGGUGACCACGGGUAACGGGGAAUCAGGGUUCGAUUACGGAGAGAGAGCCUGAGAAACAGCUACCACAUCCAAGGAAGGCAGCAGGCGUGCAAAUUACCCACUCCCGAUGCGGGGAGGUAGUGAC
Non-coding RNA from Pelobates cultripes (western spadefoot toad), 298 nucleotides. NCBI's taxonomy places the organism in Eukaryota, Metazoa, Chordata, Amphibia, Anura, Pelobatidae. The record is from the annotation of a GenBank genome assembly.